This 519-nucleotide ribosomal RNA is filed under the name uncultured bacterium. RNAcentral describes it as "bacterial SSU rRNA". It matches the Rfam family "Bacterial small subunit ribosomal RNA", at positions 29 to 526 of the family's 1533-position model. The record is from RNAcentral.
AACGAACGCUGGCGGCGUGCCUAACACAUGCAAGUCGAACGCGAAAGGGGGCAACCCCCGGUAGCGUGGCAGACGGGUGAGUAACACGUGGGUAACCUGCCCCGAGGUGGGGGAUAACCCUCCGAAAGGAGGGCUAAUACCGCAUGACACCUGGAGGUCCGCGGAUCUCCAGAUCAAAGCUAGCCUCUGCUUGCAAGCUAGCGCCACGGGAGGGGCCCGCGCCCCAUUAGCUAGUUGGUGAGGUAAUGGCUCACCAAGGCCACGAUGGGUAGCCGGCCUGAGAGGGCGAUCGGCCACACUGGAACUGUGACACGGUCCAGACUCCUACGGAAGGCAGCAGUGAGGAAUAUUGCGCAAUGGGCGAAAGCCUGACGCAGCGACGCCGCGGGGAGGACGAAGGUCUUCGGAUCGUAAACUCCUGUCGAGCGGGACGAAGCCGGGGCGGUGAAUAGCCGCUCCGGUUGACGGUACCGCUAAAGGAAGCCCCGGCUAACUCCGUGCCAGCAGCCGCGGUAAUAC